UACGUAGGGUGCGAGCGUUGUCCGGAAUUAUUGGGCGUAAAGAGCGCGUAGGCGGUGUGUCACGUCGGCCGUGAAAACCUGCAGCUUAACUGUGGGCGUGCGGUCGAUACGGGCAUCACUGGAGUUCGGCAGGGGAGACUGGAAUUCCUGGUGUAGCGGUGAAAUGCGCAGAUAUCAGGAGGAACACCGGUGGCGAAGGCGGGUCUCUGGGCCGAUACUGACGCUGAGGAGCGAAAGCGUGGGGAGCAAACAGG
RNAcentral lists this ribosomal RNA (254 nucleotides) under uncultured bacterium. RNAcentral's name for it is "partial 16S ribosomal RNA". It matches the Rfam family "Bacterial small subunit ribosomal RNA", at positions 524 to 776 of the family's 1533-position model. The record is from RNAcentral.